AUAGAUGGCCGUACGACCCUCAACACGCCCAGUCUCGUGGGAUCUCCGAAGCUAAGCAGGGUCAGGCCUGGUUAGUACUUCGAUGGGAGACCACUGCCUAGGAAUACCGGGUGCCGUGGGCA
Non-coding RNA from Podarcis lilfordi (Lilford's wall lizard), 122 nucleotides. The record is from the annotation of a GenBank genome assembly. Lineage: Eukaryota; Metazoa; Chordata; Lepidosauria; Squamata; Lacertidae.